This 352-nucleotide transfer-messenger RNA is filed under the name Acidobacteriota bacterium. Its description in RNAcentral is "Acidobacteria bacterium transfer-messenger RNA". It matches the Rfam family "transfer-messenger RNA". Rfam says of the family: Bacterial tmRNA, also known as 10Sa RNA or SsrA, is named for its dual tRNA and mRNA-like properties. Its role is to liberate the mRNA from a stalled ribosome. Lineage: Bacteria; Pseudomonadati; Acidobacteriota. RNAcentral also lists the same sequence under 2 other names. The record is from RNAcentral.
GGGGGCGAAAGGGUUCGACGGGCAGAGUUGAGGCUCAGGCCGCAUGCCGAGGUUGGUUUUCCUCGUAAAUCAAGACCAAAACAAAUGUAACUGCAAAUCCAGUUGCACUCGCUGCGUAACUGACGCAGCCGGAUACCCGGGCUGAUGCUCGCAGGCUCAGGCUAUCCGACGUAUAGCGGGCUCGGUUCGGCGGUUCUCACUCACCGCAGAACUUAAACCUAUGAGUGAUAGCGACUGAAAAGCCUUGUCCUGCCGGGCUUUCGGAAGCGAAACCUAAACGGCAGAUCUAAGCAUGUAGACGCUUGAAGUCGAAACUGUUCGGACGGGGGUUCAAUUCCCCCCGCCUCCACCA